AAAACAUAGCCUUAAGAAAACAUUUAAGGUAAGCUCUGCCCAGUGGAAGUUCUUAACGGCCGCAGUACCCUGACUGUGCUAAGGUAGCGUAAUCAGUUGGCUUUUAAAUGAAGUCGAGAAUGAACGGGGCCAUGGAAAGAAGCUGUCUCUUUUUUAAUUUAAUGAAUUUGCUAAAUAGGUGAAAAUACCUUUAGUAAGAAAAUAGACGAGAAGACCCUUAGAGCCUUUAUAAUAAUUUAUUUAAUUAUUUUUGUUGGGGCGACAAGAAGACAUAUAACUCUUCUUAAUACUAAACGAUUAUAAUACAUAUGAAUAGGCUACCUUAG
RNAcentral lists this ribosomal RNA (326 nucleotides) under Zospeum spelaeum schmidti. RNAcentral describes it as "partial 16S ribosomal RNA". It matches the Rfam family "Archaeal large subunit ribosomal RNA", at positions 1902 to 2540 of the family's 2987-position model. Lineage: Eukaryota; Metazoa; Mollusca; Gastropoda; Ellobiida; Ellobiidae. The record is from RNAcentral.